CACUGUUAAAAGUGCUACAUCCACAAUGUAGAUUUAGUAUAUUUCAAAUGCUUGUGAUUUACCUUAUUUUAUUUGUUUUGUCAUAAAAAGGAUCAAAAUUAUUUGCCUCUACUUGAAAUGCAAAAUUAUAUAUAUAAGAAUUUAUUGUAAGUGCUACUGACACAUUAUAUUUGAGUAUUUUUUUCCACGUGACUGUUGUGUACAUGAAACAUUAUAAAUUUGAGUUUACUUGGAAAAUUCAUAGUAGUCCUUAAACGAAAAAAUUGAGUUGAGGUUAGUGACUAUCCAUGAAGCUUGGCAGCAAAGGCGGCAGAGGAGGCAGACUCAGACAAUACACGUCCUUUGGCAUGUUCCCUACAGAGCAAAUUUCCUUCAGGAAAAAAAAACGGUUAAGCGAGCUGGACUUGUAAAAGAUGUAGUGAUGUUCUGCCAACAAGAAAAUAUUGCCCCAAUGACUGAUAAUAAUGUGAGAAUCCCCUUAAACGGUGUUUGUGGAAAUGUUGGCAUAUGUUCUUAAGACUAAGGUAAGGAGAGUAAGGUAAUAAUUCAUUACUUUUUAUACUCAAAAAUACAAACAUGGUGACUAUGUCCCUUUACUUCUUGAUUAGAGGUCAUCAUGUAUGUUAAUUUGAUGUAUGGGCUAAAACUAAAUUUUGCCUACAACUCAAGCAUGUAUCUUCAAUAACAAAAUACUCCUACCCCCUUCAGUAUGUGAUAAAGAUGGCAUGCUUCUGCUUACAGAUCAGUAAGGAGUUCCGCCCAAUUAAUGACAUACCGAACACACACCAAAGAUGUUGUCACUGUUCCAUGCAAAAAGAAGAGCUGUGGGCCAAAGGAUCAAGUCACGGAUGCUGCAACGCAUCCAGUACUCUCCUCUCCGCUCCUUUACUGUUUCCUCAUCUCCUCUUUUCUCAUCUCCACUAUUCUCAUCUCCUCUCACCCCUUCUCUUCUACCAUAUCCUUCCCUUCUUUUUCAUAGGACACAACUGUCUCUGUUGAUAAGAGAAGGGAAGCGGUCCUGAGAUGCUUGAUUGAGUACAUUGGGGGCCAUGAAGAGGACCUUAUAAAUGACCAUAAUGUGCAUGCAGUGCUGAUACUGCCGGCAUCGUCAUUGACUGAUACCCAGUCAUCAGAGGUUUGCCCAACUUGGCAAAGGCAUGCUGUCUUCUGUUUGGACUGAUCUAUGCUCUUGAGCUGAAAUAUCCUGCAAAACUGGUGCACACAUAUGAAGUCUUUCAGCAGCUCUUUCUUGCCAUGAAUGUCAUGCCUCCCAAACCAUCACCAAAGUACACUAAUUUGCUGAACAAGCUGAGUUAAAAUUUUAUUUUCAGUUUUGAGAUUUUUUUCUGUACAUUUUCAGCCACAUUGAGAGUGUGAGAUUUGCUUUUGUUGUUUUUACAUUGAUUGCCAUGGUAGUUGGCAGAGUGUUUUGAGAGGACUGCACUGACUUCUCUUUGUUUUGCUGUGUUCAAGUUAGGACAUUUUUGGCCAUGUUUAAGACAAAGCAAAACUUUUAUGAAAUAAGUGUUGUGGCAACGCAGCUGAGCCACUAAACAGUUUCCAGUGUGUGCGUGCCCUCGCUUGGUUGCUCGGUCGGUCGACUGUCUUUUAUCGCUGUGCCAUCUUUGUUAUGCUAAAUUUUGUACAUUAUGGCUAUAUCUAUGCCAGGAAAAAAAUUAAUAAAAAAUAAGAAUAAAAAUAUAAAAAUAAAUAUUUGAAAUGUCUUUUCAGCUUGUUCUUCAUUUAAAAUCGUUGCUUUUCACUGUAUAGUCUAUUUCAAUGUUUUGGUGUGCUUUACAGAGAACGAAAGCGAUCUCAUCUGUCAGAAAACAAAACAGUUAAAUUCUCUCGGAGUAAUGAAGCUCCAGGCUGCUUAUAUGAACUAAACACCAUAAAAAAUGUAUUAUCUGAAUAAAGAACUAAAAAACAAAAUAAAUGAAUAUUUUACCAUCACUUACGUUCUCUUUAAUGAUAAAUUUUACAGUAGAAUUGUUUAAUUGAGAUGAAUGUACUUCUGGCGAAUAACCAGAAGUACAUGAAUCUCAAUUAAGGCCUAUUUAAGUAUAUUGAAAAUUAUUGUAUUACUUUACAUGAGCUCAAAAAAAUUGAGUUAAACCAAUACUACUGAUAAUGCCUAGUUGGCCCAAUCAAGAAAAUUGAGUUCAUUAAACGCAUAAAAAUCCAGUUGAUUUAAACCAAUACCACUGCAAAUCCCUAGUUGGAUAAACUUAAUUUUCUUGAUUGAUCCAACUAGGCAUUAUCAGUAGUAUUGUUUUAACUCAACUUAAUUUUUAUGAGCUCAUGUAAAGUAUUAAAAUCAUUUUCAUUCUACCUAAAAAAGGCUUGAAGUUUACUCAACUUAAAAAGACCAAUGCAAUCGCUUGCCUUAUUUUUUAUAAGUAAGA
Corythoichthys intestinalis (scribbled pipefish) is the source of this 2405-nucleotide long non-coding RNA. RefSeq lists it as uncharacterized. The record is from RefSeq and is a predicted model, not a curated record. NCBI's taxonomy places the organism in Eukaryota, Metazoa, Chordata, Actinopteri, Syngnathiformes, Syngnathidae. The transcript has 4 exons.